RNAcentral lists this ribosomal RNA (253 nucleotides) under uncultured bacterium. RNAcentral's name for it is "partial 16S ribosomal RNA". It matches the Rfam family "Bacterial small subunit ribosomal RNA", at positions 524 to 776 of the family's 1533-position model. The record is from RNAcentral.
UACGUAGGGGGCAAGCGUUGUCCGGAAUCAUUGGGCGUAAAGAGCGUGUAGGCGGUCCGGUAAGUCGGUUGUGAAAGUCCAGGGCUCAACCCUGGGAUGCCGACCGAUACUGUCGGACUAGAGUUCGAAAGAGGCGAGUGGAAUUCCCGGUGUAGCGGUGAAAUGCGCAGAUAUCGGGAGGAACACCUAUGGCGAAGGCAGCUCGCUGGGACGUUACUGACGCUGGGACGCGAAAGCGUGGGGAGCAAACAGG